GGUUACGAGAGACAGCCCUGGAAUGACCCA
This 30-nucleotide non-coding RNA is filed under the name Homo sapiens (human). Lineage: Eukaryota; Metazoa; Chordata; Mammalia; Primates; Hominidae. The record is from RNAcentral.